This is a non-coding RNA of Lingula anatina, 79 nucleotides long. NCBI's taxonomy places the organism in Eukaryota, Metazoa, Brachiopoda, Lingulata, Lingulida, Lingulidae. The record is from Rfam.
AGUGUCAGUGAUGAUUUUUUUCACCAUCUUUCGUUUGAAGAAUUAUGUAACCAAAACAUGCACUACCAACUGAGACACU